UACGUAGGGUGCGAGCGUUAAUCGGAAUUACUGGGCGUAAAGCGUGCGCAGGCUGUUCUGUAAGUCAGAUGUGAAAUCCCCGAGCUCAACUUGGGAACUGCGUUUGAAACUACAGGACUAGAAUAUGUCAGAGGGGGGUAGAAUUCCACGUGUAGCAGUGAAAUGCGUAGAGAUGUGGAGGAAUACCAAUGGCGAAGGCAGCCCCCUGGGAUAAUAUUGACGCUCAUGCA
RNAcentral lists this ribosomal RNA (230 nucleotides) under uncultured bacterium. Its description in RNAcentral is "partial 16S ribosomal RNA". It matches the Rfam family "Bacterial small subunit ribosomal RNA", at positions 524 to 753 of the family's 1533-position model. The record is from RNAcentral.